CACGAAGUUAGCCGGGGCUUCUUCUCACGCUACCGUCAUCAUCGUCGCGUGCGAAAGAGCUUUACAACCCGAAGGCCUUCACCACUCACGCGGCAUUGCUGGAUCAGGCUUGCGCCCAUUGUCCAAUAUUCCCCACUGCUGCCUCCCGUAGGAGUCUGGGCCGUGUCUCAGUCCCAGUGUGGCUGAUCAUCCUCUCAGACCAGCUAAGGAUCGUUGCCUUGGUAGGCCGUUACCCCACCAACAAGCUAAUCCUACGCGGGCCCAUCCCAUGGCGAUAAAUCUUUGUCCCUCAAGACACAUACGGUAUUAGCUCCAGUUUCCCGGAGUUAUUCCGUACCACAGGGCAGGUUCCCACGCGUUACUCACCCGUGCGCCACUAGGGCCGAAGCCCUCGUUCGACUUGCAUGUGUUAGGCAUGCCGCAGCGUUCGUUCUGAGCCAGGACUCAAACUCU
This 453-nucleotide ribosomal RNA is filed under the name uncultured Skermanella sp. Its description in RNAcentral is "partial 16S ribosomal RNA". The record is from RNAcentral. Lineage: Bacteria; Pseudomonadati; Pseudomonadota; Alphaproteobacteria; Rhodospirillales; Azospirillaceae.